This 492-nucleotide ribosomal RNA is filed under the name uncultured bacterium. RNAcentral describes it as "partial 16S ribosomal RNA". It matches the Rfam family "Bacterial small subunit ribosomal RNA", at positions 29 to 507 of the family's 1533-position model. The record is from RNAcentral.
AUUGAACGCUGGCGGCAUGCUUUACACAUGCAAGUCGAACGGUAACAGGCCUUCGGGUGCUGACGAGUGGCGCACGGGUGAGUAAUGCAUCGGAACGUGCCCAGAGGUGGGGGAUAACGCAGCGAAAGCUGUGCUAAUACCGCAUGUGAUCUGAGGAUGAAAGCGGGGGACCAGGCAGCAAUGUUUGGCCUCGCGCCUUUGGAGCGGCCGAUGUCAGAUUAGGUAGUUGGUGGGGUAAAGGCCUACCAAGCCGACGAUCUGUAGCUGGUCUGAGAGGACGACCGGCCACACUGGGACUGGGACACGGCCCAGACUCCUACGGGAGGCAGCAGUGGGGAAUUUUGGACAAAGGGCGCAAGCCUGAUCCAGCAAUGCCGCGUGCGGGAAGAAGGCCUUCGGGUUGUAAACCGCUUUUGUACGGAACGAAAAGGCUCUGGCUAAUACCUGGGGCUGAUGACGGUACCGUAAGAAUAAGCACCGGCUAACUACGUG